AUCCAGCUGACGAGUCCCAAAUAGGAUGAAACGUGCGUCAACUGGAU
RNAcentral lists this non-coding RNA (47 nucleotides) under Schistosoma mansoni. Lineage: Eukaryota; Metazoa; Platyhelminthes; Trematoda; Strigeidida; Schistosomatidae. The record is from RNAcentral.